AACGAACGCUGCCGGCAUGCCUAACACAUGCAAGUCGAACGAAACCUUCGGGUCUCUUGGCGCUCGGGUGGGUAACGCGUGGGAACGUGCCCUUAGGUUCGGAAUAACCCCCCGCGAGGGGUGCUAAUACCGGAUACUGACUUCGGAACAAAAUUUGAUCGCCUUUGGAUGGGCCCGGGUUGGAUUAGCUUGUUGGUAGGGUAAAAGCCUACCAAGGCGACGUACCAUAGCUGGUCAGAGAGAACGAUCAGCCACACUGGUACUGAGACGCGGCCCAGACUCCUGCGGGAGGCAGCAGAGGGUAAUCCUGGACAAUCGCCGAGGGGCUGAUCCAGCAAUGCCGCGUGAGUGAUGAAGUCCUGAGGGUUGUAAAGCUCUUUUACCCGGGAUGAUAAUGACAGUACCGGGAGAAUAAGCACCGGCUAACUCCGUG
This 433-nucleotide ribosomal RNA is filed under the name uncultured bacterium. Its description in RNAcentral is "partial 16S ribosomal RNA". It matches the Rfam family "Bacterial small subunit ribosomal RNA", at positions 29 to 507 of the family's 1533-position model. The record is from RNAcentral.